RNAcentral lists this long non-coding RNA (484 nucleotides) under Hordeum vulgare. RNAcentral's name for it is "long non-coding RNA (HVUL_LNC021081)". The record is from RNAcentral. Lineage: Eukaryota; Viridiplantae; Streptophyta; Magnoliopsida; Poales; Poaceae.
UGGAACGUUGCUGCGCUGCUUGGGACAUCCUCCAUGACCCACUCAAAGCCCCUGGGGUAGUAAAUCCCUGUCCUUGGGUGUGGCACCCACAGUGCUGUCUCUGCUGACCUUGCUGCUGUUGGCUGCACCCGGUUCGUAAGGUUAGAGUUUUGCCUGUUCUUAACUUCCCUACAUAUGACAAUCCAAGCAGUUACUUUAUGGAGCAUAUCAGCAUAAUGAUGUUGCAUUUAGCAAUUCAAGUUUCUCUUCAUUAGCAUAUGAACAACCUUUGGAUUACAGUAAUGCUUGAAUGUCAUCGUUCUGGAAUCUACCAAUUGAAAGCUUCAUUAUUGCAGGUUUAGAGGGAUGCUAGAGGCUACUUACCGGAGAAGACCAGUCGAUUUUGCAAUUGCACUCCGGCCCAUCAACAAAGGCUGGGGAGGCGCUAAAAUCUGCUACUGUCUGUUCUUUCCUCCUUGGGGUCAAGUAGCCGAUGGCAGUUCCC